This 253-nucleotide unclassified non-coding RNA is filed under the name uncultured Rhodanobacteraceae bacterium. Its description in RNAcentral is "contains 16S-23S intergenic spacer region". It matches the Rfam family "Bacterial small subunit ribosomal RNA", at positions 524 to 776 of the family's 1533-position model. The record is from RNAcentral. Lineage: Bacteria; Pseudomonadati; Pseudomonadota; Gammaproteobacteria; Lysobacterales; Rhodanobacteraceae.
UACGAAGGGUGCAAGCGUUACUCGGAAUUACUGGGCGUAAAGGGUGCGUAGGUGGUUUUUUAAGUCUGCUGUGAAAUCCCCGGGCUCAACCUGGGAAUGGCAGUGGAUACUGGAAAGCUAGAGUGCGGUAGAGGGUAGUGGAAUUCCCGGUGUAGCAGUGAAAUGCGUAGAGAUCGGGAGGAACACCAGUGGCGAAGGCGGCUACCUGGACCAGCACUGACACUGAGGCACGAAAGCGUGGGGAGCAAACAGG